RNAcentral lists this ribosomal RNA (410 nucleotides) under uncultured bacterium. RNAcentral describes it as "bacterial SSU rRNA". It matches the Rfam family "Bacterial small subunit ribosomal RNA", at positions 29 to 430 of the family's 1533-position model. The record is from RNAcentral.
AACGAACGCUGGCGGCGCGCCUAAUACAUGCAAGUCGAGCGAGAAGACGUAGCAAUACGUUUGUAAAGCGGCGAACGGGUGAGGAAUACAUGGGUAACCUACCCUCGAGUGGGGAAUAACUAGCCGAAAGGUUAGCUAAUACCGCGUACGCUCCUUGGACUUCGGUUCAGGGAGGAAAGCGAUACCGUGGGUAUCGCGCUCUUGGAUGGGCUCAUGUCCUAUCAGCUUGUUGGUGAGGAACGGCUCACCAAGGCUUCGACGGGUAGCUGGUCUGAGAGGACGGCCAGCCACACUGGGACUGAGACACGGCCCAGACUCCUACGGGAGGCAGCAGUGGGGAAUAUUGGACAAUGGGGGAAACCCUGAUCCAGCGACGCCGCGUGUGUGAAGAAGGCCUGCGGGUUGUAAAA